CCCAUCGGCCUCCUCCCUUUUAAUCCGCCCCAAACCCUAGCCCUUUCCCCUCUCCUCCCUCACGCGCCGCCAUGCCUCUCCCCUUCUUCCUUUUUCCCUUUCUGUACGAGCAAACGAGGAAGAAAACCUCACAGUACCGUACCAACCUCGCCAUGGCGCCGCUGCUCUGGUCCAUCCCCCGACGAUCUGAGACCACCACCAGAAGCGCCUCGACGUCCUCUACCUCCCUCUGCAAGGAAUCGACCCACGACGCCUUGAAGCUCCCGCACCACCGCCGUUUCUUCACCAUGGCCGCCAUACUCCGGCGUCGAUUCCGGCCGCCCUCGUCCUCAUCCGGCCAAACCGAGCGCACCUCCGGCUUCCCCAAGUCAAGGCGCACCUUUGACGCCCUCGACCUCGGCCCGGUUCGUCCGGAUGCUCCAGAUCGGUGCUCGCCUGAGCCCGUCCGCCAUGACCUCUCCAUCCCGAGCUCUGCUCGCGUCUUGAUCAAGUUUUGGUGCAGCUCACCCACAUGAACAAUGGUACUGCAGCGCAGUGAUCUCGCGACAGAUAUGCUUCAAUAACCUCGGAGCCUUUUCCACAAUCAAUAAUAGCAUCGUAGCCUUCUGAUCUGGCGCCACUGGGCCUUGGCCCGUUUCUGUCCCGGUGUAGACGUCGCCUGCGUGCGGCAUCCUGCUAUCCGUCGCUGUUAAGGCCAGGUCCGGUCCAGUUCGUCCCCUUCUAUCUUGUUUUUGCAGAAAAUGUUUAAAUCUUGCGAAAUUCAUAUCUUGUAAACCGUAAUUCGAAAUACAAAGUGUUAUAUAUGAAAAUUGAUCAGAAAAAUGUGAAGAACAUGAAUAUGCCAUCCAUGCUUGCUGUUGCACCAUGCAUCAUAAAAUUUCGUGGUAGUUUGCAUUACCACCUAAUAUGUAACAUAUGGAAUAUGUGGGAUAUUAUAUAAAUGUUGUUCCGGUUCCAUUUAACUUUGAUGUAGCUCACCCCUGCCAUGUUUGCUAUGCUAAUCCACCCUUAAAUUUGUCGGUAGAAAUGCAACUUCAACCUAAUUUGUUUGCCCGGAGUUCCGACUCCGAUUAAUAUGAGUAAGUGCAUCGCAUCAUAUCUGCCAUGUCAUGCAUAUCAUCUGGAUCAUGCU
Non-coding RNA from Lolium perenne, 1132 nucleotides. Lineage: Eukaryota; Viridiplantae; Streptophyta; Magnoliopsida; Poales; Poaceae. The record is from RefSeq and is a predicted model, not a curated record.